Non-coding RNA from Lachnospiraceae bacterium TWA4, 129 nucleotides. Lineage: Bacteria; Bacillati; Bacillota; Clostridia; Lachnospirales; Lachnospiraceae. The record is from Rfam.
ACGAAACGAUCAGCACCGCCGAAGACAGCAGGUGCCGUAUGGCGUAAGGUGUAACGCCUGCCGAGACGAUUUUAAGGAAUGCCUUAUAUACCUCUCUGUCUUUGGAUAGAGAGGUUUUGUUUAUAUACA